This 445-nucleotide ribosomal RNA is filed under the name uncultured bacterium. RNAcentral's name for it is "bacterial SSU rRNA". It matches the Rfam family "Bacterial small subunit ribosomal RNA", at positions 28 to 453 of the family's 1533-position model. The record is from RNAcentral.
GAUGAACGCUGGCGGCGUGCUUAACACAUGCAAGUCGAACGAAGCACUUUAUUUGAUUUCCUUCGGGACUGAUUAUUUUGUGACUGAGUGGCGGACGGGUGAGUAACGCGUGGGUAACCUGCCUUGUACAGGGGGAUAACAGUUGGAAACGGCUGCUAAUACCGCAUAAGCGCACAGCAUCGCAUGAUGCAGUGUGAAAAACUCCGGUGGUAUAAGAUGGACCCGCGUUGGAUUAGCUAGUUGGUGAGGUAACGGCCCACCAAGGCGACGAUCCAUAGCCGACCUGAGAGGGUGACCGGCCACAUUGGGACUGAGACACGGCCCAAACUCCUACGGGAGGCAGCAGUGGGGAAUAUUGCACAAUGGGCGAAAGCCUGAUGCAGCGACGCCGCGUGAGCGAAGAAGUAUUUCGGUAUGUAAAGCUCUAUCAGCAGGGAAGAUAAUG